AUUGAACGCUGGCGGCAGGCCUAACACAUGCAAGUCGAGCGGAUGAAGGGAGCUUGCUCCUGGAUUCAGCGGCGGACGGGUGAGUAAUGCCUAGGAAUCUGCCUGGUAGUGGGGGAUAACGUCCGGAAACGGGCGCUAAUACCGCAUACGUCCUGAGGGAGAAAGUGGGGGAUCUUCGGACCUCACGCUAUCAGAUGAGCCUAGGUCGGAUUAGCUAGUUGGUGGGGUAAAGGCCUACCAAGGCGACGAUCCGUAACUGGUCUGAGAGGAUGAUCAGUCACACGUGAACUGAGACACGGUCCAGACUCCUACGGGAGGCAGCAGUGGGGAAUAUUGGACAAUGGGCGAAAGCCUGAUCCAGCCAUGCCGCGUGUGUGAAGAAGGUCUUCGGAUUGUAAAGCACUUUAAGUUGGGAGGAAGGGCAGUAAGUUAAUACCUUGCUGUUUUGACGUUACCAACAGAAUAAGCACCGGCUAACUUCGUG
RNAcentral lists this ribosomal RNA (484 nucleotides) under uncultured bacterium. Its description in RNAcentral is "partial 16S ribosomal RNA". It matches the Rfam family "Bacterial small subunit ribosomal RNA", at positions 30 to 507 of the family's 1533-position model. The record is from RNAcentral.